CCUACGGGUGGCUGCAGUGAGGAAUAUUGGUCAAUGGCCGGAAGGCUGAACCAGCCAUGCCGCGUGAAGGUCAGUGCCCUAUGGGCUUUAAACUUCUUUUGUGCGGGAGCAAUAAUGGUCACGUGUGGCCAGACGAGAGUACCGUACGAAUAAGCGUCGGCUAACUCCGUGCCAGCAGCCGCGGUAAUACGGGGGAUGCAAGCGUUAUCCGGAUUUAUUGGGUUUAAAGGGUGCGUAGGCUGUGAGGUAAGUCAGCGGUGAAAUGCCCCCGCUCACCGGGGUGAAGGGCCAUUGAUACUGCCUGGCUUGAAUGCGGAUGACGUGGGAGGAAGGGGUGGUGUAGCGGUGAAAUGCAUAGAUAUCACACAGAACACCGAUUGCGAAGGCAUCUCACGAAUCCGCGAUUGACGCUGAUGCACGAAAGCGUGGGUAUCAAACAGGAUUAGAUACCCGAGUAGUC
Molecule: ribosomal RNA, 460 nt
Filed under: uncultured bacterium
Lineage: Bacteria
Description: partial 16S ribosomal RNA
Rfam family: Bacterial small subunit ribosomal RNA
Source: RNAcentral